Molecule: transfer RNA, 85 nt
Filed under: Felis catus (domestic cat)
Lineage: Eukaryota; Metazoa; Chordata; Mammalia; Carnivora; Felidae
Rfam family: tRNA
About the family: Transfer RNA (tRNA) molecules are approximately 80 nucleotides in length. Their secondary structure includes four short double-helical elements and three loops (D, anti-codon, and T loops). Further hydrogen bonds mediate the characteristic L-shaped molecular structure. tRNAs have two regions of fundamental functional importance: the anti-codon, which is responsible for specific mRNA codon recognition, and the 3' end, to which the tRNAs corresponding amino acid is attached (by aminoacyl-tRNA synthetases). tRNAs cope with the degeneracy of the genetic code in two manners: having more than one tRNA (with a specific anti-codon) for a particular amino acid; and 'wobble' base-pairing, i.e. permitting non-standard base-pairing at the 3rd anti-codon position.
Source: Rfam by way of RNAcentral
ACCUGGGUGGCUCAGUUGGUUGAGCAUCUGGCUUUGGCUCUGGUCAUGAUCCCACAGUUCGCGGGUUUGAGCCCCGUGUCAGGUU